ACAGAAGCUCACAAAAGAAGCGCCAUGGAGAUCUUAUCUGGGGCGAGGGGGCACGUGCCAGCAGAGAGGGCUCUGCAUGCCACCUGUAGCACACGUACCAUAGGUUGAGCAGCCCAGGAAUAUCAUGCCAACAAAACUAAGAUCCGUUCUUGACUGCUCAUAUUCCAGCUUACUCGAUUUCAGAUGCAGUGGAUAAAAUCUGGGUAUACUUGGUGCAGAUGCAGCAGUUCAAUGGCUUAAAGAUGCUGGAGAUGUUCUUUGCUCUGGCGGUUCGAGUCCUACACUACAUGGUGGCGUGAGCUCCCAUCACUUGCCUCAACCUCUGCACAUCUGGCAGUUCGAAAGCAUACUACAUGCAAGUAGAUAAAUAGGUAUCACUUCGGUGGGAAAUGUGGCAGUGUUUUCUUGUGUAAGUUUGGACCCUGCUGGACCUGCCCGAAUAUGACACCCAACUGCAAUGGUGAGAGAAGGCCACAGAUGGCACCACAGGAACUUGUUUGCCCCCUGUGAUGCAUCUUGGAUAUGCACACGAGUGUGAACUAAAAGGACUAAUACUCUUCCACAGUCAAAUAACUGCUAUAUAGUAACAUUGUAACCUUUUAGCUAAUUGUACCAUUGCCAAACACUAAAUACCCUGUUUCCCUGAAAAUAAGACCUCCCCGGAUAAUAAGACAAAUCGGGCUUUUGAGUGCAUGUGC
Molecule: non-coding RNA, 698 nt
Organism: Thamnophis sirtalis
Lineage: Eukaryota; Metazoa; Chordata; Lepidosauria; Squamata; Natricidae
Source: RefSeq, a predicted model, not a curated record